This 253-nucleotide ribosomal RNA is filed under the name uncultured bacterium. Its description in RNAcentral is "partial 16S ribosomal RNA". It matches the Rfam family "Bacterial small subunit ribosomal RNA", at positions 524 to 776 of the family's 1533-position model. The record is from RNAcentral.
UACGUAGGUGACCAGCGUUGUCCGGAUUUACUGGGCGUAAAGAGCGCGCAGGCGGUCGUUCAAGUCGAGUGUGAAAGCCCCCGGCUCAACUGGGGAGGGUCACUCGAUACUGAUCGACUUGAAGGCAGGAGAGGGAAGCGGAAUUCCCGGUGUAGUGGUGAUAUGCGUAGAUAUCGGGAGGAACACCAGUGGCGAAGGCGGCUCUCUGGGCCUUUCCUGACGCUGAGACGCGAAAGCGUGGGGAGCGAACCGG